CUCAUGACCAUCUCGGAUACCUUUUCCUUCGUUCACCCUUUUCAUUUCAAAAUUUGAAUACUCAAAUUUUCUCUCUAGAUACCUGGAAACCCUAAAUACCAUCUCCACAACAGAAGCACUCUUUUCCUUCUUUCUUCACUUACCGGUGCCCCAUUACCACAAUCACCACAUACACCUCCUUCACUAUGACGACCACGCUCAUCGAUUUCAUUGAUUUCAUCUGUGUGUUUUAACUGUUUUUUCAGUACUCCGAUGAAGACGACACCUUCAUCAGUUCCAUCUAUUAUGGUAGCCACCCUCCAGAUAAGAUUUCAUGUAAGUUUUUGCUCACCUUCUUUCUUUCACUUAUCUUUAUCUGUUCCAGUCAACUCCACACACCACUCCAUUCUCUCUAAGAAACCCAAGAAACCCCAGAUCUAAAUCUUAGCUAUAAACCACAGAAUCUCGGCCCAUCCAGGUUUCUCUCUUAUACCUAUUUGUUCUUGCCUUCUUGGAAUAUGUCUAAUGUUUGUUUUGAAUCACUUUUUAUUCAGACUCUAAUUUUUGCUUUUUUGGGCUUCAUGUGCAAGGGUUUCAACAAAUGGAAUCCAACGACACCACCAACUAUCGCUUUCACCUCCAUAGAUAUUCCCAUCUCUCUCUCUCUCUCUCUCUCUCUCUCUCUCUCUCUCUCUCUCUUUCUCUCUCUCUCUGGUUUCAAGAAAUACAGACACACACCACCUUCACACUUCAGUCUGUACUUCUUUAUGAAAAUUGGGUUUUGACACCACCUUCACACUUUAAUAUGUAUUUCUCUAUAACAUUAGGUUUUGAUAAUGUUAUUUCUCUAUAACAUCAGACAUUGACCUGUUCUCCGGCGAAUUACACCACCGUAGAUGGCGGAGCCAGAGAUCGGUGAGCUGAGCUUCACCUGAUACAUGAUUUUACCGAUUCUUUCUGAUACAUUGCAUUUUUUCUCUCCAUUUAAUGUUUUUUGCAACAAAACCCCAAAGAAGUAGGUGUGAUUCACAUUUUCCACCAGCGGGAUUCUACUCGGAUUUUGUGGGGUUUUAAUCCGAUUUUUGUAAUAAAAAUUGAAACCCCCAUUUUACAAUAUUUGGAAUUAAAUCCUCUAAAUUUACUCAGAUUUACCAAUUAUGCUGUUUUCAAUUUGGUUGUUUCGAUUGAAUUACCUCUUCUUUCUCUCUCAUGUUUUUUCUUGGAUUUUUUAUGGCAAAUUGUUUGCUGAUAAGCAAAGCUACCUGGGAUUUUUAUAAAUUAAUUUUAUCAGUUUUUGUUGGAAUUAAUUGCUUGCAUGCUAUUUCUGUUUUGAUUCUCAUAGCUAUUAACCAUAACUAUCUGUAAUUGUUAUUCAAUUGUAUAUGUUAGGUGUAAGAUCAUUUCUAUGAGAAAAUGCAUUUGGGGGGUUUUUGGCAGGUUAGCAAGGAAUGGGAAUUAGGGUUCUUGAAUUGCAAUCCCAAUUCACACCACUCUUCAGUAAUCAGGUGAAAUCCAGAAUGAACUAUGGGAGAGGUUUUCCACUCCCUCAUUACGAAAACAGUAAUUCAUGGAAUCCGGCAACAAGAAUUCCACCGGAAAACGGAAUUGGGCCUCAUAGGGGCUCUUGGACUGCAGCCAUGCUUGGAGGAUUGAUUCCAGGGGUUGGUGGCUUAGGUGAGACUCCAGGAAGAGCACUUCCUGUGGAUGAUGAGAUCAUUUGUGGUUUGGAAGCAAAAUAAAAGCUUCUGGAUAGUUAAGGUUUCUCUUCUGUUUUGGGCCCUGUUCCAAUUAUGGUUUCUCUUUCAUGGAAUGUAUGUAUGGACGAAAGUAGAAAUGGAUUAGCCACUUGGCACUUGAGCUCAAUGAUUCAAAGCUUUGAAUCUCAUAUAGUGGCUCCCAGUAGCACAACACACAGAUCUUCACCAAGAUCUGAGAUGAUUAAUUAAGUUACAGGAUCCCACCAUAAGAGAUCUAUCAAGGUUUUCAAUGUGACACUACCAGUGGUUUCUGAUGUGGGGUUUGAAAGAAAUUUGAUAAUGUAGUGGUGUGAACCUGCUCCUUUAUAGGCACCACUACUUUCUAUUAGAAUAGUUUUUGUGUUUUUUCUCCUGAUAUGCACAACUUGCUAUAAAGUAAUCUGCAAAUAAAUAUUUGAAAUUUGGGUAUAAUUGUAUAAGUUUUGUAAGCUAUUUUGGUAACCAAGUCUAGCUACUUUGAAUUAUGUUUUCUAAAGGCUUGACCUGUUAUGUAUUGUUUAUAUAUGGUUGAAACUUGAUUCGUAUAUUUCUUUAAUCAACUAUAAAUUAAAAUGAUGCUUCAGUUAAUUUUUUACAUGUCUAAAUCUCACCUUUUAUUUUGGUUCCAUUCUAGCUUUUUGUUUGUGCCAAAGGAGGGAAAGCUGAUGUAAUGAAGAUCAAAUUUGGUUGGUACUUAGCUGCAACCAAAUCACUUUAGUGACUAAUGUUUGAAAUAAUUAGUAGUUAAAUAGAUAACUGUUGGUGAGUUGUUGGAUAGUUUUAUUUUUAAGUCAAAUGUUAAUGGGUUUUUUUUUUU
Non-coding RNA from Lactuca sativa (garden lettuce), 2532 nucleotides. The record is from RefSeq and is a predicted model, not a curated record. NCBI's taxonomy places the organism in Eukaryota, Viridiplantae, Streptophyta, Magnoliopsida, Asterales, Asteraceae.